RNAcentral lists this long non-coding RNA (642 nucleotides) under Mus pahari (shrew mouse). RNAcentral's name for it is "lncRNA (MGP_PahariEiJ_G0002669.1)". The record is from RNAcentral. Lineage: Eukaryota; Metazoa; Chordata; Mammalia; Rodentia; Muridae.
UAGAUUGAUGGCCUAGUGGCCAAAGGGAGGCGUUGUCAGCUCUUCUUGGUUCCUUAGAAGUCAAAUUAGCAACGGUUUUGAUCUUAGGAAUCCCCAGAAAUAUCAACUGGAAGGGGGUUUUGGUCAAAACAGAGAAACUAGACCAGGUCAUAGUCCUAUGGUAGGGACGAGAUCAGGGCCACAGGCUGUGACAAAGCCUAGUUCCUGAGUCCUCCCCCGAAAAGUUGCGGAGAUACCCACCGGCUUGGGUGAGCUCAGAUUCCCCCUUCUAUGUCUCCAAGACAGAAGAACAGCAAAAUAUGCCUGGGCGACCCUCGGAGAGCUAAGAGGUACGUGAAAAGGCUAGAAGAAGACAUUGGAUUCCCUGGAGUGGUGUUAGUGCAGACUGUGAGCCUCCUGGCAAUGGUGCUGGAAACCAAACUUUGGUGCUCUGAAAGAUCAGGAAGUGGUCUUAAUGGCUGAUGUACAUCACAGGCUGGGGACCAAUGUCCAAGACUAUGUGGACCAUCUCAAACCACCUAUGUACUUAUAAUGACAGCACGCAGGCAGUGAGCCAGGGCCUCACAUGCUCGGCAAAUGCUCUACCCACUGGACAGCAUCCCCAGCUUGUUUUUGGAAACAAGUUUCAUUAAGUUGUCCAGC